This 430-nucleotide ribosomal RNA is filed under the name Pseudomonadota bacterium. RNAcentral describes it as "Proteobacteria bacterium partial 16S ribosomal RNA". It matches the Rfam family "Bacterial small subunit ribosomal RNA", at positions 355 to 776 of the family's 1533-position model. Lineage: Bacteria; Pseudomonadati; Pseudomonadota. The record is from RNAcentral.
UGGGGAAUAUUGGACAAUGGGGGGAACCCUGAUCCAGCCAUGCCGCGUGUGUGAAGAAGGCCUUAUGGUUGUAAAGCACUUUAAGCGAGGAGGAGGGUACUGGCAUUAAUACUACCAGCUACUGGACGUUACUCGCAGAAUAAGCACCGGCUAACUCUGUGCCAGCAGCCGCGGUAAUACAGAGGGUGCAAGCGUUAAUCGGAAUUACUGGGCGUAAAGCGCGCGUAGGUGGUUCGUUAAGUUGAAUUUGAAAGCCCCGGGCUCAACCUGGGAGCUGCAUCCACAACUGGCGAGCUAGCGGAGGGCAGAGGGUGGUGGAAUUUCCUGUUUAGCGGUGAAAUGCGUAGAUAUAGGAAGGAACACCAGUGGCGAAGGCGACCACCUGGGAUCAUACUGACACUGAGGUGCGAAAGCGUGGGGAGCAAACAGG